This 140-nucleotide ribosomal RNA is filed under the name uncultured bacterium. RNAcentral's name for it is "partial 16S ribosomal RNA". It matches the Rfam family "Bacterial small subunit ribosomal RNA", at positions 355 to 489 of the family's 1533-position model. The record is from RNAcentral.
CGUGGRUAACUGCACAAUGGGCGCAAGCCUGAUGCAGCCMYGCCGCGUGUAUGAAGAAGGCCUUCGGGUUGUAAAGUACUUUCAGCCGGGAGGAAGGGAGUCAAGUUAAUACCUUUGCUCAUUGACUUUACUCNNAAKAA